ACAUUCAUCUCUUGGGAUCCGAGGAGAGAUAUCUGCCGAGAGAGAAUUUGGAUCGGAGCCAGCAAAGCAAACUCCAGAAGCCUUGGCUGCUGCGAAAGGGGAUUCAACACCUUUCCGGGUCGUUCUCACUUCAUUUCCAGCCGGUCCCCCUUUGGUGCUGUUUCCCAAGUAAUCAGACCUCAGGGGUUGCCUCCUGGUGGGGAAAGGGAAGCUUGCCUUGCUGGAGAAGGGGCUCAAGGCACAGGACUUGCCUCGGACUUGCCAAGGAGGCUUGCAGGAGGCUCUUUGUCUACUCCUCUGUCCUCAUCCAACAAAUGGUUGUUCCAGAAAAAAUGCAGCAACACCUGAACUCUUCUAAA
Homo sapiens (human) is the source of this 359-nucleotide long non-coding RNA. RefSeq annotates it as ETV7 and PTX1 antisense RNA 1. The record is from RefSeq and is a predicted model, not a curated record. The transcript is spliced from 2 exons. Lineage: Eukaryota; Metazoa; Chordata; Mammalia; Primates; Hominidae.